Molecule: ribosomal RNA, 285 nt
Filed under: Klebsiella pneumoniae
Lineage: Bacteria; Pseudomonadati; Pseudomonadota; Gammaproteobacteria; Enterobacterales; Enterobacteriaceae
Also listed under: 2 other names
Description: partial 23S ribosomal RNA
Rfam family: Bacterial large subunit ribosomal RNA
Source: RNAcentral
UGUUUCGGCUAGGGGGUCAUCCCGACUUACCAACCCGAUGCAAACUACGAAUACCGAAGAAUGUUAUCACGGGAGACACACGGCGGGUGCUAACGUCCGUCGUGAAGAGGGAAACAACCCAGACCGCCAGCUAAGGUCCCAAAGUCAUGGUUAAGUGGGAAACGAUGUGGGAAGGCACAGACAGCCAGGAUGUUGGCUUAGAAGCAGCCAUCAUUUAAAGAAAGCGUAAUAGCUCACUGGUCGAGUCGGCCUGCGCGGAAGAUGUAACGGGGCUAAACCAUGCAC